This 485-nucleotide ribosomal RNA is filed under the name Blastocystis sp. RNAcentral's name for it is "SSU rRNA". It matches the Rfam family "Eukaryotic small subunit ribosomal RNA", at positions 459 to 957 of the family's 1831-position model. The record is from RNAcentral. Lineage: Eukaryota; Bigyra; Opalinata; Blastocystidae.
UGGAGGUAGUGACAAUAAAUCACAAUGCGGGACUAUUCGUCUUGCAAUUGGAUUGAGAACAAUGUACAACUCUUAUCGAUAAGCCAUUGGAGGGCAAGUCUGGUGCCAGCAGCCGCGGUAAUUCCAGCUCCAAUAGCGUAUAUUAACGUUGUUGCAGUUAAAAAGCUCGUAGUUGAAGUGUGGGUGGUGCCAUCUGUGGAGCUUCGGCUUUUCAGAUGAUCACUACCCCCUUCCAGUAUCCAGUAGUGGGUAUUCAGUUACUUACUACUGUGUGUUGGUCGUUUACUGUGAGAAAAUUAGAGUGUUCAAAGCAGGCGUUUGCUUGAAUAGAUUAGCAUGGAAUAAUAAUUGAAGGCUUUCGUGUUCGAUUUGAUUGGUUUGUUCAUGGAAGCAAGGUUAAAAGGAACAGUUGGGGGUAUUCAUAUUCACUAGUUAGAGGUGAAAUUCUCGGAUUUAUGGAAGAUGAACAAGUGCGAAAGCAAGAA